Long non-coding RNA from Setaria italica (foxtail millet), 1072 nucleotides. RefSeq lists it as uncharacterized. The record is from RefSeq and is a predicted model, not a curated record. The transcript has 7 exons. Lineage: Eukaryota; Viridiplantae; Streptophyta; Magnoliopsida; Poales; Poaceae.
CGCCGCUGCUCUGUCUUUGUCUCUCGCUUGAGAACCAUCCCCAAAACCCUCGCCUCGCCCAUCCAGUGACUUCUCCGGCGUACCGCAGCGGCCAUUUACGGCUGGCAUCUGGACGACCUACAUCACCCGCGAUUCCACCUCGCUCCGCUCGUCUCUUAUUCUGUCGGAUAGCAUAAAACGUCAAUCAGAGGAGGAUCAGGUGAAGGAAUAUAUCAGAGCUAAACAAAUAUAUAAUAUGGAGAAAGAGUAUGAGGAGAGGAUUGCUAUAUUUGAGACAUCUCCCAUGGAUGAUUCAGAUUUAGGAAUAUGGCAUCAGUAUCUUGAUUUUGCUGAGAAGGAAGGAGAUCAUGAAAAGGUUGUGGGAUUGUAUGAGCGAUGUUUGACCCCGUGCGCUGCCCAUGCUGAUAUUUGGAUGCACUAUGUUGAGUUUUUGGAGGAUGCGAACAUGAUCACAGAUGCAAGUGCGGCACUUUCUCGUGCUCUGAAAUCGGUGAAGAGGGAAGCAUUAUUGGAGAUAUGCCGUUUUAGCGCAAUGUAUAAAGAGUGUAUUGGUGACAUUCCUGGAGCACGUCAACAAUAUCAUGAGAUUUACUCAGAAAUUAGAUCCAACCUCACAUGAGGCUAUAGAAGCACAUGCAAAUUUUGAACGCAGAUUGGUAUGUUGAGAAAGAGGGGAGGGGGGUAGGGUGAUGAUGAAAGGCCUGUUCAGUUUAUGAAGAUGCUAUAGCUGCUGAAAGAAAAUUGGGCAAAGUCUCAGAUUUGCCUGCUUUACUUUUUCAGUAUGCAUUCUUUGCAUAUGUGGUUCUCAAUAAUCCCAUCAAAUCUAGACAGAUUUUAAGUGAACUUCACAGCCAUAAUUUGACUCAUCCUGUUAUAAAGGGCGUCAUUGACCUGGUAUCAUGUUUUCCUGAGAGCAAAGACACGCUGUUCCGAGAGUUUCUAGAUCCUUUGGUGCAGAAAUAUUGUAUAUUCCACGAGAGUUUGCAAUCAAACCUUAUUACAUUCUGUAUCGUGGUAUCCGCUUAUACCACCCAAUACAGUUUGGAAUGCGACUAUGGGGGUGUUUGGUUAA